CUGGAGUCCAUCCCCAGUACCACAAAAGCUGAACUUGGAGCUGCAUGCUUGAAAUUCCAGUACUGCUGAGGUGAAGGCAGGAGGAUCACAAGUUCAGUCACUGUCAGCUUGGCUAUACAGGAAGUUUACCGCCAGCCUGGACUGAAUGUCCUGUCUAAAAAAGCGGGAGAAGGGUCUCUCUGUCUCCCCAGACCUCGGGCUGGAUGUUUACAUGGAAGCUAAGUAGAACUGAGUCGGAAGUCUUUGGGUUUCACCUCCCACACUGGUCAUGACAUCACCCCCAUGGUGUUCAAAAGCAGGUGAAAAGAAUCUUCAACCCUAUUUGAUCCCCACUGUGUCCCAAGAAAGCAGUUUCCCUCAGGGCGGUGGCCACAGGUCAGCUGCAUGGAGGGAACCUCCCAGGACAGCUCCACCUUUUGGAUGCCCCUUCCCUGAAACUGCCACAGGGCUGGGCAGGACGUGGCACGAGGCUGGGUGUGUAGCUGAGCAGGAUGCCCCGUCUAAGGAGUGGCGGGGAGGGGCCCUGCUCCCCUCACCCCAGUCAGCGGUCAGUGUAGUCACCCCUGCUGCUGCUGUCACCGAGCCAGCCUGGGAGGCAGGUGGAGCCAGACCAAGGGUGGAGGAAGCUGAGAGUCAGGCAGAGGCAGUUGGCCUUGGUUGCUGUAGGGAUAAUCACCCUAAUGACACACUUGACAACUGUCACACUUUACAGUUUCUCUGCCUGCCUCCUAAUAAUAACGGCACCCACUGAUGGGUGGUAGCUGCUAUGCAGAGACUGUCCACCAGGAGGCAGGAGUCGCUAGCUCCAUUCUACAGAGGUGGAAACUGAGGCCUAGAGAGGAUAACUUCUUGUUUAAGCUCCAAUGAUAAUUAAGAGGCCGGUGGCAGCACAUGGACCCAGUUGGAGAAACUGAGGCCCUGAGAGUGAAAGUAACUUCUCACGCAGCAGGAAUGGUACUGGGGACCUCUCUUCAGAGCCUCCCAAGUAGAUCCAUGACUGCCAGCAAUCCGGGAAGUACAGCAGAAGUACCCUG
Mesocricetus auratus (golden hamster) is the source of this 1034-nucleotide long non-coding RNA. RefSeq lists it as uncharacterized. Lineage: Eukaryota; Metazoa; Chordata; Mammalia; Rodentia; Cricetidae. The transcript is spliced from 3 exons. The record is from RefSeq and is a predicted model, not a curated record.